Long non-coding RNA from Tympanuchus pallidicinctus (lesser prairie-chicken), 461 nucleotides. RefSeq lists it as uncharacterized. Lineage: Eukaryota; Metazoa; Chordata; Aves; Galliformes; Phasianidae. The transcript has 2 exons. The record is from RefSeq and is a predicted model, not a curated record.
AAGCCAUGUGAGCAGCAAGUAUUAACUGACCUUGUGACAACCUGCAUAACAGCUUCGCUUCACCACCCAUCUUUUUCAAUUUCCUCCUUGCAAAAGAUUAGCAGGAUUCUCCCUUAGAAGAAAAAGAUGACUUGGCUUCAUGAUGGAGUUAGCAGCUUAAGGCAGCUUGUGGCAUUUCAUAUGGCUGUUGAACCUGCAAGACACAACCCACAGCAGAGUUGGAGUUCAGCUGGAGUCUUUCUGAUCCGUACCUGAUUGAACUGAACUGAGGCCCUGGCCGAGGUUAGGAUAAGGCUGCAGUUAGCCAUGGCAACACGUGAGCAACAGCCCCAAUACCUCCAGGUCCCACUCCCUCCUUCAAAGGAAGAUGAAAUGUUAUGGUAGCCUUCCUCGCCAGAGAUAAAACAAAUAAAUAAAUAAUAAUAAUAAUAAAAAGUAAUAAUAAUAAAAAAAUUUGCACA